CAAAGAAUAGUUUAAAAAAAAAAUUAUAAUUUUGGAGAUUAUAGAUAAAGAAUUUCUUUUUCUUUGA
RNAcentral lists this transfer RNA (67 nucleotides) under Melanitis phedima. RNAcentral describes it as "tRNA-Pro". Lineage: Eukaryota; Metazoa; Arthropoda; Insecta; Lepidoptera; Nymphalidae. The record is from RNAcentral.